UCAGAGCCAGGCGCAGG
RNAcentral lists this unclassified non-coding RNA (17 nucleotides) under Mus musculus (house mouse). Its description in RNAcentral is "oocyte_clustered_small_RNA5711". The record is from RNAcentral. Lineage: Eukaryota; Metazoa; Chordata; Mammalia; Rodentia; Muridae.